Molecule: transfer RNA, 62 nt
Filed under: Trinorchestia longiramus
Lineage: Eukaryota; Metazoa; Arthropoda; Malacostraca; Amphipoda; Talitridae
Description: tRNA-Asn
Source: RNAcentral
UUAGCUGAAGCCAAAAUAGAGGCUUAACAUUGUUAAUGUUUAUAUUGAUUAAAAGUCCUGCU